GUGAGGAAUAUUGGUCAAUGGGCGGGAGCCUGAACCAGCCAAGUCGCGUGAAGGAAGAAGGAUCUAUGGUUCGUAAACUUCUUUUGCAGGGGAAUAAAGUGCAGGACGUGUCCUGUUUUGUAUGUACCCUGAGAAUAAGGAUCGGCUAACUCCGUGCCAGCAGCCGCGGUAAUACGGAGGAUCCGAGCGUUAUCCGGAUUUAUUGGGUUUAAAGGGUGCGUAGGUGGUUGGAUAAGUCAGCGGUGAAAGUUUGCAGCUUAACUGUAAAAAUGCCGUUGAAAAUGUCGGACUUGAGUGUAAAUGAGGUAGGCGGAAUGCGUGGUGUAGCGGUGAAAUGCAUAGAUAUCACGCAGAACUCCGAUUGCGAAGGCAGCUUACUAAGCUACAACUGACACUGAAGCACGAAAGCGUGGGGAUCAAACAGGAUUAGAAACCCGAGUAGUCC
This 445-nucleotide ribosomal RNA is filed under the name uncultured bacterium. Its description in RNAcentral is "partial 16S ribosomal RNA". It matches the Rfam family "Bacterial small subunit ribosomal RNA", at positions 354 to 796 of the family's 1533-position model. The record is from RNAcentral.